This 355-nucleotide long non-coding RNA is filed under the name Homo sapiens (human). Its description in RNAcentral is "HSALNT0334230". The record is from RNAcentral. Lineage: Eukaryota; Metazoa; Chordata; Mammalia; Primates; Hominidae.
CACAGGAAACACAUGGCGUGUCCACACUCAAGUUUGGAGAACUGGAAGAAAGCUUGAUAAAGGGCGUAUUCGUUUCCUGGAGCUGCUGUAACAAAUCACCACAAACCAUGUGUCUUAAAACAACAGCAAUUUAUUCCUCUCUGACUUCAGGAAGCCAGCAAUCCACAACCAAGGUGUCAGCAGGGUCGGUUCCUUCUGAAACCAUCCUACACCUCUCUCCUUGCACCUGGUGGCUGCCAACAACCCUUGCCCUUCCUUGGCUUGUAGCUGCAUCACUCCAACCUCUGCCUCCAUUGUCAUAUGGCCCUGUGUCUUCAGGUAGCCUCUUCUAAUGACACAGUCAUUGGAUUUAGGG